AGGAGCAAGAGGUGAUAUAGAAAAUGGGUUUCCAGGAUUUAUGCCUGCGAGGCGUGCAUUGCGUGUUCAUGCAGCACGUCCUAGUAAUUCCAACUCACUCACUUUUCUCGUAACAGUUCUCCUGUUAUUCAUGAUACUGAACUCCCACCAGAUGUCACCAAAUUUUCUGCUCUGGCUAGUGCUUGGUGUUUUUUUGAUGGCUACAAUGCUAAGGAUGUAUGCGACAUGUCAACAACUUCAAGCCCAG
Lathyrus oleraceus (garden pea) is the source of this 247-nucleotide long non-coding RNA. RefSeq lists it as uncharacterized. Lineage: Eukaryota; Viridiplantae; Streptophyta; Magnoliopsida; Fabales; Fabaceae. The transcript has 4 exons. The record is from RefSeq and is a predicted model, not a curated record.